RNAcentral lists this long non-coding RNA (249 nucleotides) under Homo sapiens (human). RNAcentral describes it as "HSALNT0351686". The record is from RNAcentral. Lineage: Eukaryota; Metazoa; Chordata; Mammalia; Primates; Hominidae.
ACAUCUAUCAGACGCUUAAAUUUACCUACAGAGCCACUUAAUCCCCCUGUAAAUUUAACUGUUAGUCUAAAGAGGGACAGCUCUUUAGACAUUAGGAAACAACCUUCAUGUAGAGAGUAAAAAACGUUAUCCCCAUAGUCGGCCCAAAAGCAGCCAUCAAUUAACAAAGCGUUCAAGAUCAACAUCCAACCACUCUAAAUUCUAAUCACACCACUGAACUCCUAACACCACAUUGGACUAAUCUAUUAC